RNAcentral lists this ribosomal RNA (503 nucleotides) under uncultured bacterium. Its description in RNAcentral is "partial 16S ribosomal RNA". It matches the Rfam family "Bacterial small subunit ribosomal RNA", at positions 28 to 523 of the family's 1533-position model. The record is from RNAcentral.
GAUGAACGCUAGCGACAGGCCUAACACAUGCAAGUCGAGGGGCAGCACAUGAGUAGCAAUACGAUGGUGGCGACCGGCGCACGGGUGAGUAACACGUAUGCAACCUACCGGUAAAAGGGGGAUAGCCUCUCGAAAGAGAGAUUAAUACCGCAUAAUAUCUCUGGAUGGCAUCAUUUAGAGAUUAAACAUUUAUGGUUUACCGAUGGGCAUGCGUAUGAUUAGCUAGUAGGUGAGGUAACGGCUCACCUAGGCAACGAUCAUUAGGGGUUCUGAGAGGAAGGUCCCCCACACUGGUACUGAGCUACGGACCAUACUCCUACGGGAGGCAGCAGUGAGGAAUAUUGGUCAAUGGGCGAGAGCCUGAACCAGCCAAGUCGCGUGAAGGAUGAAGGUUCUAUGGAUUGUAAACUUCUUUUGUAAGGGAAUAAAAAGAGCUACGUGUAGUUUAUUGUAUGUACUUUACGAAUAAGGAUCGGCUAACUCCGUGCCAGCAGCCGCAGUAA